AGUGGCAACAGUUGCCAACAGA
Molecule: microRNA, 22 nt
Filed under: Plutella xylostella (diamondback moth)
Lineage: Eukaryota; Metazoa; Arthropoda; Insecta; Lepidoptera; Plutellidae
Description: pxy-miR-2525-5p
Source: miRBase by way of RNAcentral